Pteronotus mesoamericanus is the source of this 104-nucleotide small nucleolar RNA. RefSeq annotates it as small nucleolar RNA U13. The transcript has a single exon. The record is from RefSeq and is a predicted model, not a curated record. NCBI's taxonomy places the organism in Eukaryota, Metazoa, Chordata, Mammalia, Chiroptera, Mormoopidae.
AUCUUUUUGUAGUUCAUAAGUGUGAUGAUUGUGUAGUCGCACUCUUGUGUGAGAUGUACCUUCCUCAAAGCUUGUUACAACAUUGGCACAUUACCUGACUGAUG